Callithrix jacchus (white-tufted-ear marmoset) is the source of this 1084-nucleotide long non-coding RNA. RefSeq lists it as uncharacterized. The record is from RefSeq and is a predicted model, not a curated record. NCBI's taxonomy places the organism in Eukaryota, Metazoa, Chordata, Mammalia, Primates, Cebidae.
UUAAGACCAUCAGAACUAAUCUCAAAAUCCCUUUAUUCAUAUUUAAAUCUGCCACCAGAGGUUUACAACUCCCAAAUCAUUCCUUCUCCCAAAACAGCGCUGAACAUCCUCAAGGACUAAAGCCUUUCUACUCACUAGGACAUGGAUGAAUCUGGAAAACAUCAUCCUCAGCAAACUGACACAAGAACAGAAAAUGAAACACCGCAUAUUCUCACUCAUAGGACAAUCCCUCCAGACAAGGAGAGCAAAAGAGACAGCAAUGAAUCAAGAUCCUUAAAAUCACUGUCACCUAUCUCAGAAAUUCCAGCUAGUCACAGGAUUCAGAAACAAUCCCUAUUCUGAUAAUUAAGCCUGAGCUGAUAACCACCAAACCAAUGCUGGAACUAGGACAGAUGUCGAUGAUACAGCCAGGACCCAGGAAUGCCACACUGGCUGCCUGCACAGGCUGGCCCUAAUCAUUAUUUCACUCCUGCAAGUAACAUGACUUUACAUUUCAUGUGACUGAUUUUUUUAGACUUUGCUUACUACAUAGAGUUUUACUAUACCCAGUAACUAAUCAAUGCCAUCUGUGCCCACCACAGCACAGCAGGUGACAGAUACAGCUACUCCCUCUGCUACCAGUCCCUCCUCAGAGAAGCACAGUGAUUUAUCACACAGGAAAAGCAGAGGGAAGCUAGUGUUGCUGUUACAGAGUACAGCUGUGGACAGAAGGGUUAUUGGGAGAAAGAAAAGGGAGAAGAGGUCAGCCACAGUGUCUCACGACUGUAACCCAACACUUUGGAAGGCUGAGGCAGGCAGAUCACCUGAGCUCAGGAAUUCAAGACCAGCCUAGCCAACCUGGUGAAACCCAGUCUCUACUAAAAAUACAAAAAUUAGCUGGGUAUGGUGGUGCACACCUGUAAUCCCAGCUACUGGGGAGGCUGAGGCAGGAAAAUCACUUGAACCCAGGAGGCAGAGGUUGCAGUGAGCUGAGACUACGACAGUGCAAUCCAGCUUGGGAGACAGAGCAAGACUCCAUCUCAAAAAAAAAAAACAACAGAGAGAAGGUAGUCAGUUAAGUAAUAAACUAUUUCAAUAGACAAAA